RNAcentral lists this ribosomal RNA (465 nucleotides) under Vreelandella stevensii. RNAcentral describes it as "partial 16S ribosomal RNA". It matches the Rfam family "Bacterial small subunit ribosomal RNA", at positions 338 to 795 of the family's 1533-position model. Lineage: Bacteria; Pseudomonadati; Pseudomonadota; Gammaproteobacteria; Oceanospirillales; Halomonadaceae. The record is from RNAcentral.
CCUACGGGAGGCAGCAGUGGGGAAUAUUGGACAAUGGGCGAAAGCCUGAUCCAGCCAUGCCGCGUGUGUGAAGAAGGCCUUCGGGUUGUAAAGCACUUUCAGUGGGGAAGAAAGCCUUGGGGCUAAUACCCUCGAGGAAGGACAUCACCCACAGAAGAAGCACCGGCUAACUCCGUGCCAGCAGCCGCGGUAAUACGGAGGGUGCGAGCGUUAAUCGGAAUUACUGGGCGUAAAGCGCGCGUAGGCGGUCUGAUAAGUCGGUUGUGAAAGCCCCGGGCUCAACCUGGGAACGGCAUCCGGAACUGUCAGGCUAGAGUGCAGGAGAGGAAGGUAGAAUUCCCGGUGUAGCGGUGAAAUGCGUAGAGAUCGGGAGGAAUACCAGUGGCGAAGGCGGCCUUCUGGACUGACACUGACGCUGAGGUGCGAAAGCGUGGGUAGCAAACAGGAUUAGAUACCCUAGUAGUC